GACGAAUGCUGACGGCAUGACUAAUACAUGCAAGUCGACCUAAGGGGCGAACGGCGUAGUAACACGUGGGUAAUCAACACAUCAGAAGGGGAUAACACUUGGAAACAGGUGCUAAUACCGUAUACUGAUGGAUGGACCCGCGGUGCAUUAGCUAGUUGGAGAGGUAACGGCGUACCGAGGCCAAGAUGCAUAGCCGUCCGGAGAGGGGGAUCAGCCACACGGGGACUGCGACACGGCCCAAACUCCUACGGGAGGCAGCAGUAGGGAAUCUUGAGCAAUGGACGAAAGUCUGACCGAGCUACGCCGCGUGAGUGAAGAAGGUAUUCGUAUCGUAAACUAUUGGUGGGAGGGGAGCGGUAACUGACCAGAAAGCUACGGCUAACUGCGUGUCAGCAGCCGCGGUAAUAC
Molecule: ribosomal RNA, 408 nt
Filed under: uncultured bacterium
Lineage: Bacteria
Description: partial 16S ribosomal RNA
Rfam family: Bacterial small subunit ribosomal RNA
Source: RNAcentral